UACUCACCCUUGCUUCUACACAGUUGUGUAGGUUGACAACUCUAUCAGAUCCGGCUUAUUACUCUUCUUCAGAUUAGAGCUUCCAGACUUACUUGAGAGGUAGCGGUUCAUUCCAGACGUGCCCUCAAGUUAUCUAUAUUUACUGUUCUGUUCUAUUCUAGAACUUUACUAUGAGACUUGUAUAUUUUAUUCAGAUUCUGUAUUAGAGGUUUGUACAUGUGACAACCAAUUCUGGGGUUAUGUUGAGUUUAUUUAAAGACUUUCGCUUAUCUUUCUAUCUUA
Molecule: long non-coding RNA, 282 nt
Organism: Solanum tuberosum (potato)
Lineage: Eukaryota; Viridiplantae; Streptophyta; Magnoliopsida; Solanales; Solanaceae
Exons: 2
Source: RefSeq, a predicted model, not a curated record